GGGGUGUUUUAACAUAGAAAAAUCAGAUUUAAGAUGUGGGUUUGAGGAGCCCUUUCAAUGUGAGAAAGCUGCUGGUUUUAUGGGAAAAAUCAGAGAAAGGCUCCUUCCUUGGCAUCAGAAAAAGGGAGAGGAAGAAAGUCUUCCUCUUGGACUGAAGAAAAAGGAAGAGGUAUCUUCCUUCUUGUGCGUGAUUUUGAGAGAAGAAAGAUUCUUUUUAGAGGUAUGA
RNAcentral lists this long non-coding RNA (226 nucleotides) under Elaeis guineensis (African oil palm). Its description in RNAcentral is "long non-coding RNA (EGUI_LNC009762)". Lineage: Eukaryota; Viridiplantae; Streptophyta; Magnoliopsida; Arecales; Arecaceae. The record is from RNAcentral.